UACGUAGGGUGCAAGCGUUGUCCGGAAUUAUUGGGCGUAAAGAGCUCGUAGGCGGUCUGUCGCGUCGGCUGUGAAAACUCGGGGCUCAACCCCGAGCCUGCAGUCGAUACGGGCAGACUAGAGUGCUGUAGGGGAGACUGGAAUUCCUGGUGUAGCGGUGAAAUGCGCAGAUAUCAGGAGGAACACCGGUGGCGAAGGCGGGUCUCUUGGCAGUAACUGACGCUGAGGAGCGAAAGCGUGGGGAGCGAACAGG
RNAcentral lists this ribosomal RNA (253 nucleotides) under uncultured bacterium. RNAcentral describes it as "partial 16S ribosomal RNA". It matches the Rfam family "Bacterial small subunit ribosomal RNA", at positions 524 to 776 of the family's 1533-position model. The record is from RNAcentral.